ACUAUGGCGCCAGGGAGGCCGCGACUUGGAGAGAGUGAGGCGGCGAUGGAACUGGAGGGGGAGGGGGAGGAGGGGGAGGAGGAGGGGGAAUUAGCAUAAGCACGUGCACGUGAGGCAGGGGACACUGUUCAUCUGGCGAUCUGGGACAUUCGGUUCUUACCUCCCGCCGGCCGGCAUGUAGGUCGCCAUUUGUGGCAAAUACUCGGGAAGAUGUGUCGACAUCGGAGGCGUCAAGCGGCUCCGGUCGGUGAUGUCGGUGCUGGGCCUGGGAGUCUGCAGGACCUUGCCCAAGGUUGACGCCGCUGCUGUCCGGCAGGAGUGGUCGAUUGACGUCAGCAUCAUGCCACUCACUUUUUUCUAUAUAAUUACUUAGCAAAAACAGCGCGGAUGCUUCCGCCAUCGGUCCUUCGACUCGGCAAUUAUAACCGCAAUAUCAUUAUUGUGGAUGAGCGUGCUUCUAGGCAUCUUAUCAUAUGAAUGCUGCAGCGCAUGAAGGUUUUACUCGUUACGAACAGGCUGUGCUUCUGCAUAACAUGCUUUCUUCUGACGUGGGCCGAGCACAGCUUGAUGGUAUAAAUAUGUGGUCCUUAAUGUAUGAAGAAG
RNAcentral lists this long non-coding RNA (603 nucleotides) under Volvox carteri. RNAcentral's name for it is "long non-coding RNA (VCAR_LNC001235)". The record is from RNAcentral. Lineage: Eukaryota; Viridiplantae; Chlorophyta; Chlorophyceae; Chlamydomonadales; Volvocaceae.